ACAUCCAGAGAACUUGGCAGAGAUGCCUUGGUGCCCUUCGGGACCUCUGAGACAGGUGCUGCAUGGCUGUCGUCAGCUCGUGUUGUGAAAUGUUGGGUUAAGUCCCGNAACGAGCGCAACCCCUAUCCUUUGUUGCCAGCGAUUCGGUCGGGAACUCAAAGGAGACUGCCGGUGAUAAACCGGAGGAAGGUGGGGAUGACGUCAAGUCAUCAUGGCCCUUACGAGUAGGGCUACACACGUGCUACAAUGGCGCAUACAAAGAGAAGCGACCUCGCGAGAGCAAGCGGACCUCAUAAAGUGCGUCGUAGUCCGGAUCGGAGUCUGCAACUCGACUCCGUGAAGUCGGAAUCGCUAGUAAUCGUAGAUCAGAAUGCUACGGUGAAUACGUUCCCGGGCCUUGUACACACCGCCCGUCACACCAUGGGAGUGGGUUGCAAAAGAAGUAGAUAGCUUAACCUUCGGGAGGGCGUUUACCACUUUGUGAUUCAUGACUGGGGUGAAGUCGUAACAAGGUAGGCGUAGCGAG
This 526-nucleotide ribosomal RNA is filed under the name uncultured bacterium. Its description in RNAcentral is "bacterial SSU rRNA". It matches the Rfam family "Bacterial small subunit ribosomal RNA", at positions 984 to 1509 of the family's 1533-position model. The record is from RNAcentral.